RNAcentral lists this ribosomal RNA (693 nucleotides) under gamma proteobacterium IMCC14944. RNAcentral's name for it is "bacterial SSU rRNA". It matches the Rfam family "Bacterial small subunit ribosomal RNA", at positions 46 to 737 of the family's 1533-position model. Lineage: Bacteria; Pseudomonadati; Pseudomonadota; Gammaproteobacteria. The record is from RNAcentral.
GCCUAACACAUGCAAGUCGAGCGCGAAAACACUUCGGUGUGAGUAGAGCGGCGGACGGGUGAGUAAUGCUUGGGAAUCUGCCCAGUAGUGGGGGAUAACGUGUGGAAACGCACGCUAAUACCGCAUACGUCCUACGGGAGAAAGCAGGGGAUCUUCGGACCUUGCGCUAUUGGAUGAGCCCAAGUCGGAUUAGCUAGUUGGUGGGGUAAUGGCCUACCAAGGCGACGAUCCGUAGCUGGUCUGAGAGGAUGAUCAGCCACACUGGGACUGAGACACGGCCCAGACUCCUACGGGAGGCAGCAGUGGGGAAUAUUGCACAAUGGGCGAAAGCCUGAUGCAGCCAUGCCGCGUGUGUGAAGAAGGCUCUAGGGUUGUAAAGCACUUUCAGUAGGGAGGAAAAGCUUAAGGUUAAUAACCUUGAGCCCUGACGUUACCUACAGAAGAAGCACCGGCAAACUCCGUGCCAGCAGCCGCGGUAAUACGGAGGGUGCGAGCGUUAAUCGGAAUUACUGGGCGUAAAGCGCGCGUAGGUGGUUUGAUAAGCUAGCUGUGAAAGCCCCGGGCUCAACCUGGGAACUGCAGUUAGAACUGUCUGACUAGAGUACAGUAGAGGGUGGCGGAAUUUCCUGUGUAGCGGUGAAAUGCGUAGAUAUAGGAAGGAACAUCAGUGGCGAAGGCGGCCACCUGGACUGA